AGGCUUUAUGAACCAAGGGGAUUAGCCCUGCUUUCCCAAAACGAAUUUAUGUGAUUAUGAUCUUCAGGCUUUGCCUAUCCAGGUUGGCUGGCCGGUGCUGACGGGACGGAGCUGAGGCUAGAGUUAAAUUCCUAUGUUAGACUUCCGCUGUAGCAAUUACUCAUAUCAGUCUUUUGUUUUCCCAACUUAAGAUCUUCAUGUUAAAUUUCAAAUGAUAUGCCUGACCGAGCUUAAACUCUUCACUACUAAGUUUAUGCUAAUGAACGUCGGUUGUCAGAAGCAUGAAACAAAACUUGUGAUCCAAAGGGGCAUAGCCCGACUUUCUAUCCUAUUUCGGUUUUAACAAGGUUUUUCCCUUGUUUAUUUCUA
This is a long non-coding RNA of Salvia miltiorrhiza (redroot sage), 369 nucleotides long. RefSeq lists it as uncharacterized. The transcript is spliced from 2 exons. The record is from RefSeq and is a predicted model, not a curated record. NCBI's taxonomy places the organism in Eukaryota, Viridiplantae, Streptophyta, Magnoliopsida, Lamiales, Lamiaceae.